GGAGUCGGGUGUUUCGGGUGACGUCACUAAUGCGCGCCAGAAUCAUGCUGCAGAGGCCGGCGCCUGGGGAGCCAAAGGACCUACUUGGAGGAAAUAAAAGAGGGAACCAGCUGGAGCAGAGAGGUUGUGAAGAGACUUAAAUGUUGGCAGUCCUUUCUCUUGGCAAUGUGGAGAAGGCAAUAAGAGCAGAAGGCUGUGUUCCAUGCUGGCAGACAUAGCACACUUUGAAAUAAAAUGAUGAAGCACUUGGAAGAAGAUGGGAAG
Molecule: long non-coding RNA, 264 nt
Organism: Mauremys reevesii (Reeves's turtle)
Lineage: Eukaryota; Metazoa; Chordata; Testudines; Geoemydidae
Exons: 3
Source: RefSeq, a predicted model, not a curated record